GAGCCAGUGGUGAAGUGGUUUCACAUCCGCGCAGCUUUCCUUGUUUUAUAUAUUUCCGCGGAAGACACUCGUUCGAUUCGGGUCUGGGUCA
Mycena latifolia is the source of this 91-nucleotide non-coding RNA. NCBI's taxonomy places the organism in Eukaryota, Fungi, Basidiomycota, Agaricomycetes, Agaricales, Mycenaceae. The record is from the annotation of a GenBank genome assembly.